RNAcentral lists this ribosomal RNA (496 nucleotides) under uncultured bacterium. RNAcentral's name for it is "partial 16S ribosomal RNA". It matches the Rfam family "Bacterial small subunit ribosomal RNA", at positions 29 to 507 of the family's 1533-position model. The record is from RNAcentral.
AUGAACGCUGGCGGCGUGCCUCAUACCUGCAAGUCGCGCGAACAGACGAGGAGCUUGCUCCUCUGACGUUAGCGGCGGACGGGUGAGUAACACGUGGAUAACCUACCUAUAAGACUGGGAUAACUUCGGGAAACCGGAGCUAAUACCGGAUAAUAUAUUGAACCGCAUGGUUCAAUAGUGAAAGACGGUUUUGCUGUCACUUAUAGAUGGAUCCGCGCCGCAUUAGCUAGUUGGUAAGGUAACGGCUUACCAAGGCGACGAUGCGUAGCCGACCUGAGAGGGUGAUCGGCCACACUGGAACUGAGACACGGUCCAGACUCCUACGGGAGGCAACAGUAGGGAAUCUUCCGCAAUGGGCGAAAGCCUGACGGAGCAACGCCGCGUGAGUGAUGAAGGUCUUCGGAUCGUAAAACUCUGUUAUUAGGGAAGAACAAAUGUGUAAGUAACUAUGCACGUCUUGACGGUACCUAAUCAGAAAGCCACGGCUAACUACGUG